Molecule: transfer RNA, 76 nt
Filed under: Candidatus Cloacimonadota bacterium
Lineage: Bacteria; Pseudomonadati; Candidatus Cloacimonadota
Description: Candidatus Cloacimonetes bacterium tRNA-Gly
Rfam family: tRNA
About the family: Transfer RNA (tRNA) molecules are approximately 80 nucleotides in length.
Source: RNAcentral
GCGGAUUUAGCUCAGUUGGUAGAGCGUCAGCUUCCCAAGCUGAAGGUCGCGGGUUCGAAACCCGUAAUCCGCUCCA